This 207-nucleotide microRNA precursor is filed under the name Oryza rufipogon (brownbeard rice). Its description in RNAcentral is "MIR812 microRNA precursor family". It matches the Rfam family "MIR812 microRNA precursor family". The record is from Rfam by way of RNAcentral. Lineage: Eukaryota; Viridiplantae; Streptophyta; Magnoliopsida; Poales; Poaceae.
AAUAAGUAUAGCCGUGGAUAUCCGUGUCUAACGUUUGACCGUCCGUCUUAUUUAAAAAAUUUGUAAAAAAUUUAAAAAUAUUUAGUCACACAUAAAAUACUAUUUAUGUUUUAUCAUCUAAUAGCAAUAAAAAUACUAAUCAUAAAAAAUUUCAAAUAAAAUGAAUGGUCAAACGUUGAACGUGAAUAGUGCAAAACUGCACUUAUU